GUGGAGAGAGCUCUGUGUUGUGCUGUGGACCAGUCUGCAGAUGUGGUGGUCAGGGAAGGGGAGUCACUAACCCUGAACUGUUCCCAGCUUGGAACGAAACAUUUCAAUAUGUAUUGGUACAAGCAACAAAGGCAGAAGGACACACGGCUUCAGCUGCGAUAACCGGCUUGGGACUCCAGAAACGAAUCCAGCGCUUUGAGGGAAUGAUACUUGUCCUUCCAAUGGCUAACCCUAAAGCAAAAUGGGGAAGUGGAGAAAUGGCAGCUAGAGCAAUGAGCCCCUCAGGGACCCAUGCCUUGACCUAAGGGCCCUGAGCUGGAAUGUCUGGGUUUGUCAUCAUGGCCAUCGACACAGCUGCAGCAUCAUGGCUCUGAGAGUGACUUGCUGGCAGGCCUCUUGGGGGUGUGACGGAAGGCCUUGCUCACCAGUCUUCACACUCCCGUCUCAAAUUAAUUGCUGACCUGGGCCAAAGAAAAGCACUGAUCAAAUGGAGACAAUGAAACUCAGAAAAGCUGAUCAGGGGAUAAAAAUAAAUAAAUCAU
Hemicordylus capensis (graceful crag lizard) is the source of this 542-nucleotide long non-coding RNA. RefSeq lists it as uncharacterized. The transcript has 3 exons. The record is from RefSeq and is a predicted model, not a curated record. Lineage: Eukaryota; Metazoa; Chordata; Lepidosauria; Squamata; Cordylidae.